Molecule: transfer RNA, 76 nt
Filed under: Candidatus Methylomirabilota bacterium
Lineage: Bacteria; Methylomirabilota (SeqCode)
Description: tRNA-Ile2(cat)
Rfam family: tRNA
About the family: Transfer RNA (tRNA) molecules are approximately 80 nucleotides in length. Their secondary structure includes four short double-helical elements and three loops (D, anti-codon, and T loops).
Source: RNAcentral
GGGCCCAUAGCUUAGCGGUGAGAGCGACCGGCUCAUAACCGGCCAGGCCCUGGUUCGAAUCCAGGUGGGCCCACCA